AGUGAACGCUGGCGGUAGGCCUAACACAUGCAAGUCGAACGGCAGCACAAUAAGAGCUUGCUCUUACGGGUGGCGAGUGGCGGACGGGUGAGGAAUACAUCGUAAUCUACUUUUUCGUGGGGGAUAACGUAGGGAAACUUACGCUAAUACCGCAUACGACCUACGGGUGAAAGCAGGGGAUCUUCGGACCUUGCGCGAAUGAAUGAGCCGAUGUCCGAUUAGCUAGUUGGCGGGGUAAAGGCCCACCAAGGCGACGAUCCGUAGCUGGUCUGAGAGGAUGAUCAGCCACACUGGAACUGAGACACGGUCCAGACUCCUACGGGAGGCAGCAGUGGGGAAUAUUGGACAAUGGGCGCAAGCCUGAUCCAGCCAUACCGCGUGGGUGAAGAAGGCCUUCGGGUUGUAAAGCCCUUUUGUUGGGAAAGAAAAGCAGCAGGUUAAUACCCCGCUGUUCUGACGGUACCCAAAGAAUAAGCACCGGCUAACUUCGUG
Molecule: ribosomal RNA, 492 nt
Filed under: uncultured bacterium
Lineage: Bacteria
Description: partial 16S ribosomal RNA
Rfam family: Bacterial small subunit ribosomal RNA
Source: RNAcentral